RNAcentral lists this ribosomal RNA (610 nucleotides) under Hepatozoon sp. RNAcentral's name for it is "SSU rRNA". It matches the Rfam family "Eukaryotic small subunit ribosomal RNA", at positions 224 to 823 of the family's 1831-position model. Lineage: Eukaryota; Apicomplexa; Hepatozoidae. The record is from RNAcentral.
AUGCAUGCUUUUACAGUAUGGAAAUUGGUGAUUUAUAAUAACUUGGCAAAUCGCAAAGUGAAAACAGGCGAUAAAUCAUUCAAGUUUCUGACCUAUCAGCUUUCGACGGUAUGGUAUUGGCUUACCGUGGCAGUGACGGUUAACGGGGGAUUAGGGUUCGAUUCCGGAGAGGGAGCCUGAGAAACGGCUACCACAUCUAAGGAAGGCAGCAGGCGCGCAAAUUACCCAAUUCUAACAGUUUGAGAGAGGUAGUAACAAGAAAUAACAAUACAAGGCAAUUAAAAUGCUUUGUAAUUGGAAUGAUAGAAAUUUAAACCCUUUUUAAAGUAUCAAUUGGAGGGCAAGUCUGGUGCCAGCAGCCGCGGUAAUUCCAGCUCCAAUAGCGUAUAUUAAAAUUGUUGCAGUUAAAAAGCUCGUAGUUGAAGUUCUGCUAAAAGUAACCGGUCUGCUUUUAAUAAAAGUGGUAUCUUGGUGUGUAUUUAGCAAUGAUGUCCUUUGAAGUGUUUUUUACUUUAUUGUAAUAAAGCAUAUUCAGGACUUUUACUUUGAGAAAAUUAGAGUGUUUCUAGCAGGCCGACGCUUUGAAUACUGCAGCAUGGAAUAAUAAGAA